GCAUGGUUGUCGUCAGCUCGUGCCGUGAAGUGUCGGCUUAAGUGCCAUAACGAGCGCAACCCCUGCCGGUAGUUGCCAGCGGAUCACGCCGGGGACUCUACCGGGACUGCCAGCGCAAGGUGCGAGGAAGGCGGGGAUGACGUCAAAUCAGCACGGCCCUUACGUCUGGGGCGACACACGUGUUACAAUGGCCGGUACAGAGGGCAGCCACCCCGCGAGGGGGCGCGAAUCUCCAAAGCCGGUCGUAGUUCGGAUCGGAGGCUGCAACCCGCCUCCGUGAAGCUGGAU
Molecule: ribosomal RNA, 288 nt
Filed under: uncultured bacterium
Lineage: Bacteria
Description: partial 16S ribosomal RNA gene
Rfam family: Bacterial small subunit ribosomal RNA
Source: RNAcentral